AUGGUGUCGGACAACCGUGGACAGGUGUCGCUCUGGCCUUCGGCGGGUCCUGCACUGACCUGCUUGUCAUGUGUCCUUAACACACGUGCUGUUGAGUCUGCUCCUGAGAGAAGCUCAGAAAGAAGUAGGGCACGCGGUUCCUUUGAAGCUAUGAGGAAGCAGGCCCAGAGUGGCAUGUGGGCUCAGACCCCGCUGGAUCUCCACCCCCCGCUGGACCAGCAAUGGGAAGCAGCGCAGCCCUCCGUACAGCAGAGGUGUGGGCAUAGCCACCCCAGGAAACUGUACCCCAGGAGGAUGCCCGAGUGAGGGGGGCCGUGAGGAGCGAAAGAUCUUCUCUUUUCCAGAAAUGUACGUAAUUGUUUUCAAGAAAAGGCUUU
RNAcentral lists this long non-coding RNA (377 nucleotides) under Rhinolophus ferrumequinum (greater horseshoe bat). Its description in RNAcentral is "lncRNA (ENSRFEG00010020566.1)". Lineage: Eukaryota; Metazoa; Chordata; Mammalia; Chiroptera; Rhinolophidae. The record is from RNAcentral.